This is a non-coding RNA of Arachis ipaensis, 1861 nucleotides long. Lineage: Eukaryota; Viridiplantae; Streptophyta; Magnoliopsida; Fabales; Fabaceae. The record is from RefSeq and is a predicted model, not a curated record.
AAUUUCCCAUUAAAGAUGAUGAUGAAGAAGAAAUGAAAGAGAUGCUAAAUCCUUUGGUUAGUGAUAAAAAAAAAAAAGAAGAAAAACAAAUAGAGAAAAAUUUUGUUCUUAUCAUAUGAAUUAGACAACACUUAAUUUUAGACCUUACAUUAUAUUUAUGUACAUAGUAUAUUUAGCUACUCAGAGCCUUUGUUGUAAAUAGAGAAGCCUUUAACUCUUUUUAAAAAGAAGACCAUGCAAGUCAUCAUUAAUAACAUAUUUAAAAAUGAAUUUAAGAAAAAAAAGCUUAGAAAUUGCUUUUUUUUUUCUACAACAAUGUUAUAUAUACCUCUCAAUGUGAUAAAGAGUAAUUUAUAAAGUUCUAAAAAUCGGUUCGAAUUAGCCGGUUCGAUUAGGUUAAUGAAAAAUUGAUCAUCUUACCAAUUCAAUUGCUACAAAAAAUUGAUUAAAAAAUCGAUCGAAUUGACGGUUAACCGGCGAAUCGGCCUGAUUUUUCAAAGCAACGAUUUUUCAUUAUCCACCAAAACGGCGACAUGUUGAUGUCGAAAAAAAACCCUUUCUGAUUACUGGUGACCCAGGCACCCACCCAACCCAUUUUCAAACCCUAACCCACAUAGCUGCCUUAAUUUCCUCUUCCAGUCUUCCUCCAACAAGCUCCACAAUUGACGCCAGCAGAAGGAACUCCAACGGGUAGAAGGAACUCGCCGUCACGGAUUGAAGCUGCUGUUAGCGUCAUUGUCGCCUGGUCGUUUGAACUCUAAAGCUUCUGGCAUCAACAUCGUCCUGGUCAUCCUGGAACUUUAGGCCUUCUCUGCUUUCUGUUAUGUCCACACAACGGCGCAGCACACACUCCCUCUCAUCACCCUCGAGCUCGUGCUUCCUCUCACCGCCAGCGAGCUCAGUCCCUCACUUCCGUCCAGCCGCCAGACUGCUCCCGCCGUCAUCGCAAGAUGGAGUCGAAGCCACUGUCGCCAUCGUGCAGCUCAGUUCCACGUUCGUGCAGCUACCGUUUCAGCUUUGGAAGCACCGUCGCUGGGCUCGCCUCCUGCCUCCGUCGCGCAGCUUUGUUCCACCGUCGCCGGCGCCAACUCUGUUCCACCGGUUAGCGCUGUUCCCCCCUCUUGUCGAAGAUUGUUUCCAUAAGUGGCCAAACCACUGCUCUUGUCGAUACACAUGCCGUCAUAGCUGAGGCUGGGAUUAAUGCUAUUCGCGAAGGAUGCACACCGUACACCCCUAAUUGCGCAGAGCGAUUUGUCAUAAGUUGAAGGAGGAGAAUGGAAUUACAUAUACUCCUCAUCAGAUUGUGGUAAGCAAUGGAGCAAAGCAGAGUAUUGCUCAGACAGUGCUUGUAGUUUGUUCACCCGGCGAUGAGAGAUUUGGUUGUUCUUCUUCUCGCGCCUAUUCCCUGCUUCUUCUCGAUCGUUCUUUUCCCCUCCUUUCUCACUGAUUAUGGAUGAUUCAACCUCAGAUUGUCAGCUGAAUCAGGGCGAAGUGGAUUAUGAAUUUGAAUCUAACGAAGUUCCUGAGGUUUGAUUUACAUACGAUUACUCUGAAUUUUGUUGCAGUCAUUUGAAUAGCAUUGUGUAGCUGAAUAAUUCGUGAACAUUGACUGUGAAACUAACACGUUAACAUGAAUCUGUCGAUUGAAUGUAAUGUGUUAGUUUUGAUUAAUUAUCUGGAAUUUAUAGCAGACGCUCUGGUGUAGAUCAGAACUUUUUUGGGUGUAUUUUUUCGAGAAGUGUGGGUGUAUUUACUGUUUAUGGAUUUUUGUGUUAUGUUAGCUGAGUUGUUGUUGUUCGGGUGUAUUAUAUCAGACAUGAUUGGGUGUGUUUUUAGUUUUUGACAUGGUGUAUUCUGCAGC